GAGGAGGUCGAGCGCGGCGGCGCGACCGGCAACCGGUGGCCCCGCCAGGAGACGCUCGCCCUCCUCAAGAUCCGCUCCGAGAUGGACGCCGCCUUCCGGGACGCCACCCUNNNNNNNNNNNNNNNNNNNNUCCUCAAGAUCCGCUCCGAGAUGGACGCCGCCUUCCGGGACGCCACCCUCAAGGGCCCCCUCUGGGAGGACGUCUCCAGGUAAAAAGAAAAAAGCCAAAAAAUUCGCCAGAAUUCUAACAGCCAGCAGCCACUGCCCAGGUUCCAAAAUGUGGACGCCGGACCUCUCCUCCUCUUUCUCUUAUCUUUUUUCCUUCCUUCCCUCCGCACGCUCUUCCACCCCCCUGGCCUCCUCUCCCUUGUGCUACGUCCCAAUUCCCUUGCGAGAAGAGAUCACGGAUCUCGGGUGCCAUAAUUGAGAGAGACGGAGGGCUUAACGGUUUCUGGGGCUUUAGCACCGGGAUGAAAUAAGAGCAAAACUUUUGAGAAUUCUGAUAGACAGAUGAGUAACGAUCUGGGACUGUGUUCGUACCACGGAGCGCACUGUAUUACAGCAGCCGCUGCCUCCUCCUGCUGCCCUUGUUUGGAUUAGUUCCAGUUUUGGGAAAGAAGAAGCCAGUCAGUCCUCUUCUCCCAAUACAACUCCCCCUCCCUCCCUCCCUCCAAGUCCCAGAUCUCCUCCCCCCGUGGUUCACGAGCGGAGCAUCUUUUCUUUUUAAAUUAUAUCAAGUCCCCUCCACUUCUGCUUCUGAAUUCGAUAAGUGCCGCUUCGGAUCCGCUGCAUCGAUCCCAACCAAUGCCCAAUUUCUAAUUUCGGAGACCUGUUGAAAACCCCGGGCAAAAAGAGAGAGACUGAAAACCCCAUGCAUUCCUCCCCUUCCAUCAAGGUCACAUUUAGUUUUAGUUUUAAUUUAUUCUCCUCCUUUUACUCUUCAUAAAACUGAUAACUUUGUUUUAGUUUUGUUACGAUGAGCUAAUAAUUAGAGCUUUAAUUAGAUGCUCUUUGUGAGGAUGUAUAUAUAUGCUUUCAUGAUUCUCUCAUCUUCCUUCACUUCCUUCUGUUGCUGUUAUUAUUAUUAGCGGUCUGGUCUGUUGUGCGUGUGAUCGUCAUUAUGGGGUUGUUUGGGUGGUGGGCAG
Molecule: long non-coding RNA, 1145 nt
Filed under: Phoenix dactylifera (date palm)
Lineage: Eukaryota; Viridiplantae; Streptophyta; Magnoliopsida; Arecales; Arecaceae
Description: long non-coding RNA (PDAC_LNC002046)
Source: RNAcentral